This 441-nucleotide ribosomal RNA is filed under the name Staphylococcus aureus. RNAcentral's name for it is "bacterial SSU rRNA". It matches the Rfam family "Bacterial small subunit ribosomal RNA", at positions 1099 to 1533 of the family's 1533-position model. The record is from RNAcentral. Lineage: Bacteria; Bacillati; Bacillota; Bacilli; Caryophanales; Staphylococcaceae.
CAACCCUUAAGCUUAGUUGCCAUCAUUAAGUUGGGCACUCUAAGUUGACUGCCGGUGACAAACCGGAGGAAGGUGGGGAUGACGUCAAAUCAUCAUGCCCCUUAUGAUUUGGGCUACACACGUGCUACAAUGGACAAUACAAAGGGCAGCGAAACCGCGAGGUCAAGCAAAUCCCAUAAAGUUGUUCUCAGUUCGGAUUGUAGUCUGCAACUCGACUACAUGAAGCUGGAAUCGCUAGUAAUCGUAGAUCAGCAUGCUACGGUGAAUACGUUCCCGGGUCUUGUACACACCGCCCGUCACACCACGAGAGUUUGUAACACCCGAAGCCGGUGGAGUAACCUUUUAGGAGCUAGCCGUCGAAGGUGGGACAAAUGAUUGGGGUGAAGUCGUAACAAGGUAGCCGUAUCGGAAGGUGCGGCUGGAUCACCUCCUUUCUAAGGA